RNAcentral lists this ribosomal RNA (564 nucleotides) under uncultured Glomeromycotina. RNAcentral describes it as "SSU rRNA". It matches the Rfam family "Eukaryotic small subunit ribosomal RNA", at positions 541 to 1125 of the family's 1831-position model. The record is from RNAcentral. Lineage: Eukaryota; Fungi; Glomeromycota.
UUSGAUUGGGCAAGUCUGGUGCCAGCAGCCGCGGUAAUUCCAGCUCCAAUAGCGUAUAUUAAAGUUGUUGCAGUUAAAAAGCUCGUAGUUGAAUUUCGAGACCGGUUUACUGGUCGUGCUUUUGUACGUACUGGUAUAAUCGGUUUCUCUCUUCUGACGAACUAUAAUGCCAUUAAUUUUGUGUUAUAGGGAAUCAGGACUGUUACUUUGAAAAAAUUAGAGUGUUUAAAGUAGGCUCACGCUUGAAUACAUUAGCAUGGAAUAACGGAAUAGGACGUUUGAUUCUAUUUUGUUGGUUUCUAGGAUCGACGUAAUGAUUAAUAGGGAUAGUUGGGGGCAUUAGUAUUCAAUUGUCAGAGGUGAAAUUCUUGGAUUUAUUGAAGACUAACUACUGCGAAAGCAUUUGCCAAGGAUGUUUUCAUUAAUCAAGAACGAAAGUUAGGGGAUCGAAGACGAUCAGAUACCGUCGUAGUCUUAACCAUAAACUAUGCCGACUAGGGAUCGGAUGAUGUUAAUAUUAAUGACUCAUUCGGCACCUUACGGGAAACCAAAGUGUUUGGGUUC